This is a small nucleolar RNA of Ornithorhynchus anatinus (platypus), 138 nucleotides long. The record is from RefSeq and is a predicted model, not a curated record. NCBI's taxonomy places the organism in Eukaryota, Metazoa, Chordata, Mammalia, Monotremata, Ornithorhynchidae.
GGCCUCUCAGGGUCUCAACUGGAGAGCUUCAAGUACUGUACCAGUCUCGGCUACAGAAGGGAGAGUCAAGCAGAGGCCUACCCAUUCCAUUCCUAGCUUGGCCAGUGGCUAGUGAGUGGAAGACAAUCUGCUACAAGU